This is a long non-coding RNA of Vicia villosa (hairy vetch), 1923 nucleotides long. RefSeq lists it as uncharacterized. The record is from RefSeq and is a predicted model, not a curated record. Lineage: Eukaryota; Viridiplantae; Streptophyta; Magnoliopsida; Fabales; Fabaceae. The transcript is spliced from 2 exons.
UGACUUUUAGUCUCUAUUAAAAAUAUUGAUUUUUAGUUUCUAUAGAAUUACUUUUACACGCAACUUUAGUCUCUGUAAAGAAUUAAAACCGCGUACAAAAAUAAUUUUAUAAAAAUUAAAAAUUAAUAUUUUUUUAUAAGGAUUAAAAGUCAAAUGUGAUAAUUUUAUAAUAUUUAAUCUUUCAUUAAUUAUGAUUUUCCCACAUGACUAAGUUAUAUCCAUAUUAUUUAGGAUGAAAGACUAAGAUAUCUUUUCUUAAUUGUGUGGGGAAAUCUAAGGCACACGUAAAUUUUGGCCUAGGAAAUAUCUUACUAAAUUUUUAAUCAGUUGAGUUAUGGUAAAAGUCUCUCAAGCGUGAGAAGGUAACAAUGAAUUAUAGGGUGAAUUAGAAUAAUUAUUUUCUAUUAUUUCUACUAUCUCUCUCUAACAAUUUUGUUAAAACUUAUUUUUAUAUUAAACCAACGAUUAAAAAUGUUAAAAAUAAUUUCAACACAAUUCAAACCAUUUUUGGUCACAUCUUUUUUUUUUGAUAAACAAUGAUCUUUUAUAUAAACAGAGCCAAACAGUGGAGAGAAUUAGAAGUUCUCAACCAGUUACAGACAUAAACAAGCCUUUCCAACUAGCAAACACCUAAGCACCUUAAUACUACAUAUAAUCUAGAGGAGAAUGACUCCAUUCAUAAAAAUUACAGUAGAUUUUCUGUUUGUUACCAAUUGCUAACCACCACCAUGUAAACAUUUUCACAUUGUGAACAAUUUCAUCUAAGUCAACAACACCAUUGUUGAAUAUCAAACAGUUUCGUUGUUUCCAUAUACACCAACAAACUGUCACCCAAAUCACUCCCACCCUCCUCUUUGCGCAGCUCCUUUUCAACACUCCCACCAUAUGCAGAAAAUCUUCGCAACAUGCAGUGUGAGCAUGCUGGACAAUCCCAAGCUAUCAUCAUUUAUUCUCUCCAUCUCGAAGGAGAAACAAUUUUUAUAUGGACACAACCAUAUACAUAGAUUUACACACAACCAAUUAUAUUUUUUAUUAAUUAAAAAACUAAAAUAAAAUUAUUUCUCUCUAUUAAACUAACCACCCUCUAUGAUAGUAAUUAAAAACGGAAAUAAUUUUUUUUAAUAAAUAUCAAUUUUCUCACUUUUAAUUAGUUAUGCCUAAAAAUAUGGAUUUAGGUUCGUAUCCAUGCAAGUAUUUUUCAUUGAAGAAGUGUGUUGAAAUUUUAAUAUAAUAUGAUUAAUUAGGAUCCUUGGAAUUUAUGAAGGUAUUGCAAUCUAAUUUUAAUUAUACCUCUCAAAAUUUGCUUGUUUCAAACGUUUCGUUUAUAAUAAAGAUGUUUAUAUUCUGAAGUAAGAAAAAACUCAAGUUCAACCUUUGGUGCAUGUGUAGUAAAUUAUGUAAUUUUAAAAUAGAACAAACAAUUUCUUGUGCGUGUGAAAAUAUAGAAAUUAAGAGUUUAAUUAUAACAAGGAAUAAGAGAGAAACUUGAAAUAAUGUAUUCCUGAAAUAUUAGAAUGAAUUCUAACAACCAUCAAGAGACAUUUGAAGAAAUGUAAUUUUUCACAGUAUAAAAUAAAUAUAUAAAUGUAUACUUCAAAAUGCAUAAGAUCAGAGAACAUAUGGCACAAAUUCUUAAGUUUGUUAGUGUCAUAAUUAUUUUUCUUUUCGAAUUCGUUGUUGUAAUGGAUGGUAUCAUUGUAACAGAUGGAGCUGUUAAAUGCUGGUCUGAUGGAGAAUGUCGUAAAGCAAUGCCGGAUUGCACUCUUCCUAAACGUCCAAGGUGUAUAUCAGGGAUAUGUCAUUGUGUGUCAUAGUAGGAAUAAAGUUCAAAAAUAAUUUCAUGUAUUUGCAACUCUAAUAUUGAUGCUUUUUAAUUCUCUCAAAGUUCAAUCUAUUUCUAUUUUAUCUGAACCUUAAAAUAAA